Pelobates cultripes (western spadefoot toad) is the source of this 259-nucleotide non-coding RNA. The record is from the annotation of a GenBank genome assembly. NCBI's taxonomy places the organism in Eukaryota, Metazoa, Chordata, Amphibia, Anura, Pelobatidae.
GUCAGAAGAAUCAUAGACAUUUUGGAUAAGGCCCACCAGGACCGGGUCUCUCUCCUGACUCUGUCGUUAGAUGCUGAGAAAGCCUUCGACAGAGUCAGGUGGGAUUACCUGGGGAAGGUCUUAAAGGCAUUUGGUCUUGCUGGCAAUAUAAUUAAAUCUAUAAUGGCCCUAUACUCUUUUACCACAGCGAGAGUAAUGGGUGAGGGUUUUUCAUCAGAAUGGUUCCAACUGAAGAACAGAACCAGACAGGGUUGUCCAC